UAGGUCGACCGCUGAACUUAAGCAUAUCAAUAAGCGGAGGAAGAGAAACCAACAGGGAUUCCCUCAGUAAUGGCGAACGAAGCGGGAAGAGUGCCCAGGUCGAAAAUCUCCGGUCAGGCUUUGAGUCGUUGACUGGUGAAUUGUGGUCUGGAGAGUCGAACUGUCCCGGUCCACUGCUCCACUGUUCGAGCCCGAAGUCGACUUGGAACGGCGUGCCUGAGAGGGUGAGAGCCCCGUAGGGCAAGGAAAUCGGGAGCGGCGGGACGAGGGUUCGUACUCGUGGAGUCGGGUUGUUUGGGAUUGCAGCUCCAAGCGGGUGGUAGACUCCAUCCAAGGCUGAAUACGGGUGCAAGACCGAUAGCGGACAAGUACC
RNAcentral lists this ribosomal RNA (373 nucleotides) under Cribrochalina vasculum. RNAcentral describes it as "eukaryotic LSU rRNA". It matches the Rfam family "Eukaryotic large subunit ribosomal RNA", at positions 24 to 352 of the family's 3401-position model. Lineage: Eukaryota; Metazoa; Porifera; Demospongiae; Haplosclerida; Niphatidae. The record is from RNAcentral.